CCUGCAGCCUGGCACAGCCACAGACACUCGCCGUGGGCUCCCCGCGCUCGCUGCACGCAGGCCGGGGACGGGAUGGACGCGGGGCGCGGGGGCACGCCAAACGUAAAACACCUGCGCGAGGAACAGUGUCCCACCAAGUGCCAGGAGCACUCUCCCCUUGCUGCUCUGAAAACGCUGGACAUGGUACAUGAACAGGAAGCAGACUUAAUCCAGGACGAUGCGGAGAAUUAAUCUGAUAACCAUUGAGAAAGAGAUUGACAUGACAUUCAACUCCAAAAAUGACUGCAUCAGAGGUUCCAUGAUACAUUUUCAGUGCCUCACCGAUCAAGAGGCUGGUGAUUGAAAUCUCUGGGACAGUGUCAGCAAGGAACCCAUCCCUUGCUGUUUCACAAAAGCCAACAUCCCAGUAAUGACUGUUUCUUCUUGUAACAAAAAAGACAGUAAAAUCAAAGGGGAAAUAUUCAAAGUACAGCGAAAAGAAUUGGCAUCAGAAAAGACGACGAGUUGACUGGAGGAAAGUAGGAAAAGAUUUUUGAAGUUCUCCAC
This is a long non-coding RNA of Bos taurus (domestic cattle), 546 nucleotides long. The record is from Ensembl. Lineage: Eukaryota; Metazoa; Chordata; Mammalia; Artiodactyla; Bovidae.